This is an unclassified non-coding RNA of Papio anubis (olive baboon), 148 nucleotides long. It matches the Rfam family "Metazoan signal recognition particle RNA". Rfam says of the family: The signal recognition particle (SRP) is a universally conserved ribonucleoprotein. NCBI's taxonomy places the organism in Eukaryota, Metazoa, Chordata, Mammalia, Primates, Cercopithecidae. The record is from Ensembl.
GCCGGGUGUGGUGGCGCGCACCUGUAAUUCCAGCUACUCAGGAGGCUGAGACAGGAGAAUUGCUUGAACCUGGGAGGUGGAGGUUGCAAUGAGCUGAGAUCACGCCAUUGCACUCCAGCCUGGGCAACAGAGCGAGACUCUGUCUCAA